AACGAACGCUGGCGGCAUGCCUAACACAUGCAAGUCGAACGAGACCUUCGGGUCUAGUUGCGCUCGGGUGCGUAACGCGUGGGAACCUGCCCUUAGGUUCGGAAUAACUCCCCGAAAGGGGUGCUAAUACCGGAUAAUGUCUUCGGACCAAGGAUCUAUCGCCUUUGGAUGGGCCCGCGUUGGAUUAGCUAGUUGGUAGUGGAAAAGCCGACCAAGGCGACGAUCCAUAGCUGGUCUGAGAGGAUGACAAGCCACACUGGGGCUGAGGCACGGCCCAGAAUCCUACGGGAGGGAGCAGUGGGGAAUAUUGGAGGAGGGGCGAAAGUCUGAUAAAGCAAUGCCGCGUGAGUGAUGAAGGCGUUAGGGUUGUAAAGCUCUUUUACCCGGGAUGAUAAUGACAGUACCGGGAGAAUAAGCUCCGGCUAACUACGUG
Molecule: ribosomal RNA, 433 nt
Filed under: uncultured bacterium
Lineage: Bacteria
Description: partial 16S ribosomal RNA
Rfam family: Bacterial small subunit ribosomal RNA
Source: RNAcentral